This 341-nucleotide unclassified non-coding RNA is filed under the name soil metagenome. RNAcentral describes it as "partial contains 5.8S ribosomal RNA, internal transcribed spacer 2, and large subunit ribosomal RNA". The stretch from base 1 to 120 matches the Rfam family "5.8S ribosomal RNA", at positions 35 to 154 of the family's 154-position model. The record is from RNAcentral.
GAUGAAGAACGCAGCGAAAUGCGAUAAGUAGUGUGAAUUGCAGAAUUCAGUGAAUCAUCGAAUCUUUGAACGCACAUUGCGCCCUUUGGUAUUCCAAAGGGCAUGCCUGUUCGAGCGUCAUUUGUACCCUCAAGCUUUGCUUGGUGUUGGGCGUCUUGUCUCUAGCUUUGCUGGAGACUCGCCUUAAAGUAAUUGGCAGCCGGCCUACUGGUUUCGGAGCGCAGCACAAGUCGCACUCUCUAUCAGCAAAGGUAUAGCAUCCAUUAAGCCUUUUUUUCAACUUUUGACCUCGGAUCAGGUAGGGAUACCCGCUGAACUUAAGCAUAUCAAUAAGCGGAGGA